UACGGAGGGUGCAAGCGUUAUCCGGAUUCACUGGGUUUAAAGGGUGCGUAGGUGGGCUGGUGAGUCAGUGGUGAAAUCUCCAGGCUUAACUUGGAAACUGCCAUUGAUACUAUUAGUCUUGAAUACCGUGGAGGUCAGCGGAAUAUGUCAUGUAGCGGUGAAAUGCUUAGAUAUGACAUAGAACACCAAUUGCGAAGGCAGCUGGCUACACGAAUAUUGACACUGAUGCACGAAAGCGUGGGGAUCAAACAGG
RNAcentral lists this ribosomal RNA (253 nucleotides) under uncultured bacterium. RNAcentral's name for it is "partial 16S ribosomal RNA". It matches the Rfam family "Bacterial small subunit ribosomal RNA", at positions 524 to 776 of the family's 1533-position model. The record is from RNAcentral.